RNAcentral lists this ribosomal RNA (315 nucleotides) under uncultured eukaryote. Its description in RNAcentral is "partial 18S ribosomal RNA". It matches the Rfam family "Eukaryotic small subunit ribosomal RNA", at positions 1470 to 1796 of the family's 1831-position model. The record is from RNAcentral.
CCCUUAGACGUUCUGGGCCGCACGCGCGCUACACUGACCAGUGCAACAAGCAUCCGUCCUUGGCCGACAGGCCCGGGCAAUCUUUGAACGCUGGUCGUGAUGGGGAUAGACUUUUGCAAUUUUUGGUCUUCAACGAGGAAUUCCUAGUAAACGCAAGUCAUCAACUUGCAUUGAUUACGUCCCUGCCCUUUGUACACACCGCCCGUCGCACCUACCGAUUGAAUGGUCCGGUGAAGCCUCCGGAUUGGCGCGCACCUCGGUGCCGCCGAGAAGUUGGCUAAACCUUACCAUUUAGAGGAAGGUGAAGUCGUAACG